AGAGUUUGAUUAUGGCUCAGGAUGAACGCUAGCUACAGGCUUAACACAUGCAAGUCGAGGGGCAGCAUAUCGAAAGCUUGCUUUGAUGAUGGCGACCGGCGCACGGGUGAGUAACGCGUAUCCAACUUCCCUAUGCUAGAGGAUAGCCCGGCGAAAGUCGGAUUAAUACUCUAUGUUCUUCGUAGAAGACAUCUGAAAUGAAGCAAAGGUUUACCGGUAUAGGAUGGGGAUGCGUCUGAUUAGGUUGUUGGCGGGGUAACGGCCCACCAAGCCCACGAUCAGUAGGGGUUCUGAGAGGAAGGUCCCCCACAUUGGAACUGAGACACGGUCCAAACUCCUACGGGAGGCAGCAGUGAGGAAUAUUGGUCAAUGGACGAGAGUCUGAACCAGCCAAGUAGCCGUGCAGGAUGACGGCCCUAUGGGUUGUAAACUGCUUUUAUACAGGGAUAAAGUGACGUACGUGUACGUUUUUGUAGGUACUGUAUGAAUAAGGACCGGCUAAUUCCGUGCCAGCCGCCGC
RNAcentral lists this ribosomal RNA (520 nucleotides) under uncultured bacterium. RNAcentral describes it as "bacterial SSU rRNA". It matches the Rfam family "Bacterial small subunit ribosomal RNA", at positions 8 to 518 of the family's 1533-position model. The record is from RNAcentral.